AGCGAACGUUAGCGGCGGGCCUAACACAUGCAAGUCGAACGCGAAAGGUCUUCGGACUGAGUAGAGUGGCGCACGGGUGAGUAACACGUAGGUAAUCUACCCUUUGGCGGGGGAUAACGUUCCGAAAGGAGCGCUAAUACCGCAUAAGACCACGGAGUCUCCGGACGCUGUGGGAAAAGGUGGCCUCUUCUUGAAAGCUACCACCGAAGGAUGAGCCUGCGUCCCAUCAGCUAGUUGGUAAGGUAAUGGCUUACCAAGGCGAAGACGGGUAGCUGGUUUGAGAGAAUGAUCAGCCACACUGGCACUGGAACACGGGCCAGACUCCUACGGGAGGCAGCAGUGAGGAAUAUUGGGCAAUGGGCGAAAGCCUGACCCAGCCACGCCGCGUGAGUGAUGAAGGCCCUCGGGUCGUAAAGCACUUUCAGUGGGAAGAACGGGCCAAGGUUAAUACCCUGGCUUCUGACGUUACCACAGAAGAAGCACCGGCUAACUCCGUGCCAGCAGCCGCGGUAAAGUC
Molecule: ribosomal RNA, 517 nt
Filed under: uncultured bacterium
Lineage: Bacteria
Description: bacterial SSU rRNA
Rfam family: Bacterial small subunit ribosomal RNA
Source: RNAcentral